GACGAACGCUGGCGGCGUGCUUAACACAUGCAAGUCGAACGGAAAGGCCUCUUUCGGGGGGUACUCGAGUGGCGAACGGGUGAGUAACACGUGAGUAACCUGCCCUUGACUUUGUGAUAACUUCAGGGAACUGGGGCUAAUACCUGAUAGCAGCUCCUGCUGCAUGGUGGGGGUUGGAAAGUUUCGGCGGUUGGGGAUGGAUUCGCGGCUUAUCAGCUUGUUGGUGGGGUAGUGGCUUACCAAGGCUUUUACGGGUAGCCGGCCUGAGAGGGUGACCGGCCGCAUUGAGACUGAGAUAAGGCCCCGACUGCUAAGGGAGGAAGAAGUGGGGAAUACUGAACCAUGGGUGCAAGCCUGAUGCAGAAAGGCCGCGUGCGGGAUGACGGUUUUCGGGUUGACAAACGCGUUCGCUCAUGACGAAGCGUUGUGUGACGGUAGUGGGUAAAGAAGCACCGGCUAACUACGUG
Molecule: ribosomal RNA, 467 nt
Filed under: uncultured bacterium
Lineage: Bacteria
Description: partial 16S ribosomal RNA
Rfam family: Bacterial small subunit ribosomal RNA
Source: RNAcentral